AUUGAACGCUGGCGGCAUGCCUUACACAUGCAAGUCGAACGGUAACAGGUCUUCGGAUGCUGACGAGUGGCGAACGGGUGAGUAAUACAUCGGAACGUGCCCGAUCGUGGGGGAUAACGCAGCGAAAGCUGUGCCAAUACCGCAUACGAUCUACGGAUGAAAGCGGGGGACUCGCAAGGGCCUCGCGCGGACGGAGCGGCCGAUGGCAGAUUAGGUAGUUGGUGGGUAAAAGCUUACCAAGCCGACGAUCUGUAGCUGGUCUGAGAGGACGACCAGCCACACUGGGACUGAGACACGGCCCAGACUCCUACGGGAGGCAGCAGUGGGGAAUUUUGGACAAUGGGCGCAAGCCUGAUCCAGCCAUGCCGCGUGCAGGAUGAAGGCCUUCGGGUUGUAACUGCUUUGUUACGGAACGAAAAGACUCUCUCUAAUACUAGGGGGUGGAAGUGACGGUACCGUAAGAAUAAGACACCGGCUAACUACGUGCCAGCAGCCC
This 496-nucleotide ribosomal RNA is filed under the name uncultured bacterium. RNAcentral describes it as "bacterial SSU rRNA". It matches the Rfam family "Bacterial small subunit ribosomal RNA", at positions 30 to 517 of the family's 1533-position model. The record is from RNAcentral.